AGUGGCGGACGGGUGAGUAACGCGUGAGAAUCUGCCUUGGGGUCGGGGACAACCACUGGAAACGGUGGCUAAUACCGGAUAAGCCGAUUGGUGAAAGAUUUAUUGCCCGAAGAGGAGCUCGCGUCUGAUUAGCUAGUUGGUGAGGUAAGAGCUCACCAAGGCAGCGAUCAGUAGCUGGUCUGAGAGGACGAUCAGCCACACUGGGACUGAGACACGGCCCAGACUCCUACGGGAGGCAGCAGUGGGGAAUUUUCCGCAAUGGGCGAAAGCCUGACGGAGCAAGACCGCGUGAGGGAGGAAGGCUCUUGGGUUGUAAACCUCUUUUCUCAGGGAAGAAGCUCUGACGGUACCUGAGGAAUCAGCCUCGGCUAACUCCGUGCCAGCAGCCGCGGUAAUACGGAGGAGGCAAGCGUUAUCCGGAAUUAUUGGGCGUAAAGCGUCCGCAGGUGGCGAUUCAAGUCUGCUGUCAAAGCACGGGGCUUAACUCCGUAAAGGCAGUGGAAACUGAAUAGCUAGAGUGCCGUAGGGGUAGAGGGAAUUCCCGGUGUAGCGGCGAAAUGCGUAGAGAUCGGGAAGAACAUCGGUGGCGAAAGCGCUCUACUGGACGGCAACUGACACUCAGGGACGAAAGCUAGGGGAGCGAAUGGGAUUAGAUACCCC
Molecule: ribosomal RNA, 660 nt
Filed under: uncultured bacterium
Lineage: Bacteria
Description: bacterial SSU rRNA
Rfam family: Bacterial small subunit ribosomal RNA
Source: RNAcentral